GAAUCAUCUGGAAAGAUGAAUCAAAGAAGGUAAUAAUCCUGUAGUCGAAAAUGUUGUCUCUCUUGAGUGGAUCCUGAGUACGACGGAGCACGUGAAAUUCCGUCGGAAUCUGGGAGGACCAUCUCCUAAGGCUAAAUACUCUCUAGUGACCGAUAGUGAACCAGUACCGUGAGGGAAAGGUGAAAAGCACCCCGGAAGGGGAGUGAAAUAGAACCUGAAACCGUGUGCUUACAAGUAGUCAGAGCCCGUUAAUGGGUGAUGGCGUGCCUUUUGUAGAAUGAACCGGCGAGUUACGAUUUGAUGCAAGGUUAAGCAGUAAAUGUGGAGCCGUAGCGAAAGCGAGUCUGAAUAGGGCGUUUAGUAUUUGGUCGUAGACCCGAAACCAGGUGAUCUACCCUUGGUCAGGUUGAAGUUCAGGUAACACUGAAUGGAGGACCGAACCGACUUACGUUGAAAAGUGAGCGGAUGAACUGAGGGUAGCGGAGAAAUUCCAAUCGAACCUGGAGAUAGCUGGUUCUCUCCGAAAUAGCUUUAGGGCUAGCCUCAAGUGAUGAUUAUUGGAGGUAGAGCACUGUUUGGACGAGGGGCCCCUCUCGGGUUACCGAAUUCAGACAAACUCCGAAUGCCAAUUAAUUUAACUUGGGAGUCAGAACAUGGGUGAUAAGGUCCGUGUUCGAAAGGGAAACAGCCCAGACCACCAGCUAAGGUCCCAAAAUAUAUGUUAAGUGGAAAAGGAUGUGGCGUUGCCCAGACAACUAGGAUGUUGGCUUAGAAGCAGCCAUCAUUUAAAGAGUGCGUAAUAGCUCACUAGUCGAGUGACACUGCGCCGAAAAUGUACCGGGGCUAAACAUAUUACCGAAGCUGUGGAUUGUCCUUUGGACAAUGGUAGGAGAGCGUUCUAAGGGCGUUGAAGCAUGAUCGUAAGGACAUGUGGAGCGCUUAGAAGUGAGAAUGCCGGUGUGAGUAGCGAAAGACGGGUGAGAAUCCCGUCCACCGAUUGACUAAGGUUUCCAGAGGAAGGCUCGUCCGCUCUGGGUUAGUCGGGUCCUAAGCUGAGGCCGACAGGCGUAGGCGAUGGAUAACAGGUUGAUAUUCCUGUACCACCUAUAAUCGUUUUAAUCGAUGGGGGGACGCAGUAGGAUAGGCGAAGCGUGCGAUUGGAUUGCACGUCUAAGCAGUAAGGCUGAGUAUUAGGCAAAUCCGGUACUCGUUAAGGCUGAGCUGUGAUGGGGAGAAGACAUUGUGUCUUCGAGUCGUUGAUUUCACACUGCCGAGAAAAGCCUCUAGAUAGAAAAUAGGUGCCCGUACCGCAAACCGACACAGGUAGUCAAGAUGAGAAUUCUAAGGUGAGCGAGCGAACUCUCGUUAAGGAACUCGGCAAAAUGACCCCGUAACUUCGGGAGAAGGGGUGCUCUUUAGGGUUAACGCCCAGAAGAGCCGCAGUGAAUAGGCCCAAGCGACUGUUUAUCAAAAACACAGGUCUCUGCUAAACCGUAAGGUGAUGUAUAGGGGCUGACGCCUGCCCGGUGCUGGAAGGUUAAGAGGAGUGGUUAGCUUCUGCGAAGCUACGAAUCGAAGCCCCAGUAAACGGCGGCCGUAACUAUAACGGUCCUAAGGUAGCGAAAUUCCUUGUCGGGUAAGUUCCGACCCGCACGAAAGGCGUAACGAUUUGGGCACUGUCUCAACGAGAGACUCGGUGAAAUCAUAGUACCUGUGAAGAUGCAGGUUACCCGCGACAGGACGGAAAGACCCCGUGGAGCUUUACUGUAGCCUGAUAUUGAAAUUCGGCACAGCUUGUACAGGAUAGGUAGGAGCCUUUGAAACGUGAGCGCUAGCUUACGUGGAGGCGCUGGUGGG
RNAcentral lists this ribosomal RNA (1857 nucleotides) under Staphylococcus aureus. Its description in RNAcentral is "partial 23S ribosomal RNA". It matches the Rfam family "Bacterial large subunit ribosomal RNA", at positions 335 to 2196 of the family's 2925-position model. Lineage: Bacteria; Bacillati; Bacillota; Bacilli; Caryophanales; Staphylococcaceae. The record is from RNAcentral.